RNAcentral lists this ribosomal RNA (373 nucleotides) under uncultured Bacteroidota bacterium. RNAcentral describes it as "bacterial SSU rRNA". It matches the Rfam family "Bacterial small subunit ribosomal RNA", at positions 521 to 896 of the family's 1533-position model. The record is from RNAcentral. Lineage: Bacteria; Pseudomonadati; Bacteroidota.
UAAUACGGAGGAUCCAAGCGUUAUCCGGAAUCAUUGGGUUUAAAGGGUCCGUAGGUGGAUAAUUAAGUCAGAGGUGAAAUCCUGCAGCUCAACUGUAGGAUUGCCUUUGAAACUGGUUAUCUUGAGUUAUUAUGAAGUAGUUAGAAUAUGUAGUGUAGCGGUGAAAUGCAUAGAUAUUACAUAGAAUACCAAUUGCGAAGGCAGAUUACUAAUAAUAUACUGACACUGAUGGACGAAAGCGUGGGGAGCGAACAGGAUUAGAUACCCUGGUAGUCCACGCCGUAAACGAUGGUCACUAGCUGUUCGGACUUCGGUCUGAGUGGCUAAGCGAAAGUGAUAAGUGACCCACCUGGGGAGUACGUUCGCAAGAAUG